This 440-nucleotide ribosomal RNA is filed under the name uncultured bacterium. RNAcentral describes it as "partial 16S ribosomal RNA". It matches the Rfam family "Bacterial small subunit ribosomal RNA", at positions 338 to 795 of the family's 1533-position model. The record is from RNAcentral.
CCUACGUGCGGCAGCAGUGGGGGAUAUUGCACAAUGGGGGAAACCCUGAUGCAGCGACGCCGCGUGUGGGAAGACGGUCCUCUGGAUUGUAAACCACUGUCCCCAGGGACGAAGCUGACGGUACCUGGGGAGGAAGCUCCGGCUAACUACGUGCCAGCAGCCGCGGUAAUACGUGGGGAGCGAGAGUUGUCCGGAAUUACUGGGUGUAAAGGGAGCGUAGGCGGGGAUGCAAGUUGGGUGGCAAAACUGCCGGUUAAAACGGGAGUCGCACUCAAAACUGUAGCCCUUGAGUGAAGUAGAGGGAAGCGGAAUUCCUAGUGUAGCGGUGAAAUGCGUAGAUAAUAGGAGGGACACCAGUGGCGAAGGGGGCCUGCCGGGGUUUUACUGACGCUGAGGCUCGAAAGUGUGGGGAGCAAACAGGAUUAGAUACCCUGGUAGUC